Molecule: long non-coding RNA, 313 nt
Organism: Amphimedon queenslandica
Lineage: Eukaryota; Metazoa; Porifera; Demospongiae; Haplosclerida; Niphatidae
Exons: 2
Source: RefSeq, a predicted model, not a curated record
AAUCCCAAAAUUCUGAAAAAUACCCUGUACUAUUGGAUGGUCUUAUUAAUUAGUGUCCCUCCCUCCCUCUCUCCUACAGAUUGCUAAGAUAAGAAGUGGUAAUGGUUUUGUUGCUAUGAAGGACUCAUACAAACCAUACAGACACUUGGAAUUCCUCACAUAUUCUAAUAUUAGGUCAGUCAUUGAUUUCACUGAUAGUGAAAGUACAUUUAUUUAUUCAUUUAUUUAUUUAUUUUAUUAGAUGUUGUUAAUGGUUUUUGUCUGUUAGUCCAUUGGUCUGAUGAUCCUCAGGAGAGAUUAUUAACUUUUAAAA